GUAGGUGAACCUGCGGAAGGAUCAUUCAUAAUAAGUGUUUUAUGGUACUUUUAAAUCCAUAUCCAUUUUGUGUGCAAUGUCAGUCGAUCUUCUUCAUGGAGAUCGACCAAACAUUAACCUUUAUUUUUUAAUUCUUUGUCUGAAAAAUAUUAUGAAUAAACAAUUCAAAAUACAACUUUCAACAACGGAUCUUUUGGCUCUC
RNAcentral lists this unclassified non-coding RNA (202 nucleotides) under rhizosphere metagenome. RNAcentral describes it as "partial ribosomal RNA internal transcribed spacer region". The record is from RNAcentral.